RNAcentral lists this small RNA (504 nucleotides) under uncultured Glomus. RNAcentral's name for it is "SSU rRNA". It matches the Rfam family "Eukaryotic small subunit ribosomal RNA", at positions 569 to 1074 of the family's 1831-position model. Lineage: Eukaryota; Fungi; Glomeromycota; Glomeromycetes; Glomerales; Glomeraceae. The record is from RNAcentral.
AGCAGCCGCGGUAAUUCCAGCUCCAAUAGCGUAUAUUAAAGUUGUUGCAGUUAAAAAGCUCGUAGUUGAAUUUCGGGAUCAAUAUUUCGGUCAUGCCGUUGGUAUGCACUGUUAUCAUUGAUUUCUCACCUUCUAAAGAACCGUAAUGCCAUUAAUUUGGUGUUACGGGGAAUUAGGACUGUUACCUUGAAAAAAUUAGAGUGUUUAAAGCAGGCUCACGCUUGAAUACAUUAGCAUGGAAUAAUGAAAUAGGACAUCCGAUUCUAUUUUGUUGGUUUCUAGGAUCGAUGUAAUGAUUAAUAGGGAUAGUUGGGGGCAUUAGUAUUCAAUUGUCAGAGGUGAAAUUCUUGGAUUUAUUGAAGACUAACUACUGCGAGAGCAUUUGCCAAGGAUGUUUUCAUUAAUCAAGAACGAAAGUUAGGGGAUCGAAGACGAUCAGAUACCGUCGUAGUCUUAACCAUAAACUAUGCCGACUAGGGAUCGGAUGAUGUUAUUUUUUAAUGA